GGAGCUUGCUCCCGGAUGUUAGCGGCGGACGGGUGAGUAACACGUGGGUAACCUGCCUGUAAGACUGGGAUAACUCCGGGAAACCGGAGCUAAUACCGGAUAGUUCCUUGAACCGCAUGGUUCAAGGAUGAAAGACGGUUUCGGCUGUCACUUACAGAUGGACCCGCGGCGCAUUAGCUAGUUGGUGGGGUAAUGGCUCACCAAGGCGACGAUGCGUAGCCGACCUGAGAGGGUGAUCGGCCACACUGGGACUGAGACACGGCCCAGACUCCUACGGGAGGCAGCAGUAGGGAAUCUUCCGCAAUGGACGAAAGUCUGACGGAGCAACGCCGCGUGAGUGAUGAAGGUUUUCGGAUCGUAAAGCUCUGUUGUUAGGGAAGAACAAGUGCGAGAGUAACUGCUCGCACCUUGACGGUACCUAACCAGAAAGCCACGGCUAACUACGUGCCAGCAGCCGCGGUAAUACGUAGGUGGCAAGCGUUGUCCGGAAUUAUUGGGCGUAAAGGGCUCGCAGGCGGUUUCUUAAGUCUGAUGUGAAAGCCCCCGGCUCAACCGGGGAGGGUCAUUGGAAACUGGGAAACUUGAGUGCAGAAGAGGAGAGUGGAAUUCCACGUGUAGCGGUGAAAUGCGUAGAGAUGUGGAGGAACACCAGUGGCGAAGGCGACUCUCUGGUCUGUAACUGACGCUGAGGAGCGAAAGCGUGGGGAGCGAACAGGAUUAGAUACCCUGGUAGUCCACGCCGUAAACGAUGAGUGCU
This 757-nucleotide ribosomal RNA is filed under the name Bacillus sp. (in: firmicutes). Its description in RNAcentral is "bacterial SSU rRNA". It matches the Rfam family "Bacterial small subunit ribosomal RNA", at positions 75 to 817 of the family's 1533-position model. Lineage: Bacteria; Bacillati; Bacillota; Bacilli; Caryophanales; Bacillaceae. The record is from RNAcentral.